GGGGGGUGCCCCCAAACUUGCCUGACAAAACAAGUCCGGACAAAAGACUGCACUGCAGCUCGUUCACUCGAAGGAAAAACAAGUCUCCUCACAGCAUCCAUCAACUGACACUACUCGGAACCCGAACAGAAGGCCAUCGUCUGCUGGGGUGGAGGGAGCAUGGCCAGAGACAGGAGCAGACCCAACAAAGCAACCAAGAGAGCCGACUCCACUCUCCGCCGCCAACCAACUCUCGGCCAAUGUCCAGUCCGCGUGGAUGAGCGAGAAUAUGUCCAAGAAGACUGAGGUGUCUGGUACCUGCUCAUUCAGCCAAGACACUGUGAAGCUUGUCCCGUUCCCGGCGCUCAGUGCCAGCUCCGCAGCCCUGUCUCUUCAUCCGUAUCUCCUCCAGUCUCUCCAAACUGACUCUGGUGUAGCAGAGACCCAGUAGCUGGUCUCCAUGGCCAAAAGAGUCCCGGAAGGCAGAUCCAGAAGUCCACAAAAAGCACCGCAGAGGUCACAAAAGUGCCACUUCUUGUGGGCAAAAAAAAAAAAUAAUAAUAAUAAUAAUAAAUAAAUAAAUAAAUAUAUAUAUAUAUAUAUAUAUUUAUAAAAUAACACAUGAAAACUAGAGGGAAACACAAAAGGAUGACACAAGAGCACAGAGCUCCUGCCAACAGCAGUCACUACAGCGGCGCCAUAUUGGAAGAUAGGACAUGAAGAGAAUAUGAACACUUUUAGAUAUUUUGGGAAAGUAAAUACAAUUUUUUAUUCAUCUUUAGUUAUGAUCAUGAUUUCUGGCUAUGUUAGGCCAGCAAAGACGGCCUUGCUGGCCCUGACAGCUCACCAUUGAUAGAACGGUACCUCGGUUUUCGUUGGUAACAAGUUCCAAAGAGGUUGGACUUUAGUUUUAAACUAUUGCUAGUGAGUAAGACCAAAAACUUUGGUCGGAUUUGCAAACUAAUGGCGGGGGUGCUUGCAACUCAAAUUUUUGCAUGCAGUUUAAAGGCCUACUGAAAUGAGAUUUUCUUAUUUAAACGGGGAUAGCAGGUCCAUUUUAUGUGUCAUACUUGAUCAUUUCGCGAUAUUGCCAUAUUUUUGCUGAAAGGAUUUAGUAGCGAACAUCCACGAUAAAGUUCGCAACUUCUGGUGCUAAGACAAAUGCCCUGCCUCUACCGGAAGUCGCAGACGAUGAUGUCACACGUGUGAUGGCUCCUCACAUAUUCACAUUGUUUAUAAUGGGAGCCUCCAACAAAAAGUGCUAUUCGGACCGAGAAAACGACAAUUUCCCCAUUAAUUUGAGCGAGGAUGAAAGAUUCGUGUUUGAGGAUAUUGAUAGUGACGGACUAGAAAGAAAAAAAAAAAAAAAAAAAAAAGUUAAAAAAAACAAAA
Nerophis ophidion (straightnose pipefish) is the source of this 1371-nucleotide long non-coding RNA. RefSeq lists it as uncharacterized. The transcript is spliced from 2 exons. The record is from RefSeq and is a predicted model, not a curated record. Lineage: Eukaryota; Metazoa; Chordata; Actinopteri; Syngnathiformes; Syngnathidae.